GGUUAAGCGACUAAGCGUACACGGUGGAUGCCCUGGCAGUCAGAGGCGAUGAAGGACGUGCUAAUCUGCGAUAAGCGCCGGUAAGGUGAUAUGAACCGUUAUAACCGGCGAUUUCCGAAUGGGGAAACCCAGUGUGACUCGUCACACUAUCAUUAACUGAAUCCAUAGGUUAAUGAGGCGAACCGGGGGAACUGAAACAUCUAAGUACCCCGAGGAAAAGAAAUCAACCGAGAUUCCCCCAGUAGCGGCGAGCGAACGGGGAGGAGCCCAGAGCCUGAAUCAGCAUGUGUGUUAGUGGAAGCGUCUGGAAAGGCGCGCGAUACAGGGUGACAGCCCCGUACACAAAAGCGCAUGUGUUGUGAGCUCGAUGAGUAGGGCGGGACACGUGGUAUCCUGUCUGAAUAUGGGGGGACCAU
Molecule: ribosomal RNA, 416 nt
Filed under: Salmonella enterica
Lineage: Bacteria; Pseudomonadati; Pseudomonadota; Gammaproteobacteria; Enterobacterales; Enterobacteriaceae
Description: partial 23S ribosomal RNA
Rfam family: Bacterial large subunit ribosomal RNA
Source: RNAcentral